This 620-nucleotide ribosomal RNA is filed under the name uncultured Georgenia sp. Its description in RNAcentral is "bacterial SSU rRNA". It matches the Rfam family "Bacterial small subunit ribosomal RNA", at positions 430 to 1059 of the family's 1533-position model. The record is from RNAcentral. Lineage: Bacteria; Bacillati; Actinomycetota; Actinomycetes; Allobogoriellales; Allobogoriellaceae.
CCUCUUUCAGUAGGGAAGAAGCUCCUCGGAGUGACGGUACCUGCAGAAGAAGCGCCGGCUAACUACGUGCCAGCAGCCGCGGUAAUACGUAGGGCGCAAGCGUUGUCCGGAAUUAUUGGGCGUAAAGAGCUCGUAGGCGGUUUGUCGCGUCUGCUGUGAAAACGCAAGGCUUAACCUUGCGCCUGCAGUGGGUACGGGCAGACUAGAGUGCGGUAGGGGAGACUGGAAUUCCUGGUGUAGCGGUGGAAUGCGCAGAUAUCAGGAGGAACACCGAUGGCGAAGGCAGGUCUCUGGGCCGUUACUGACGCUGAGGAGCGAAAGCAUGGGGAGCGAACAGGAUUAGAUACCCUGGUAGUCCAUGCCGUAAACGUUGGGCACUAGGUGUGGGAUCCAUUCCACGGGUUCCGUGCCGCAGCUAACGCAUUAAGUGCCCCGCCUGGGGAGUACGGCCGCAAGGCUAAAACUCAAAGGAAUUGACGGGGGCCCGCACAAGCGGCGGAGCAUGCGGAUUAAUUCGAUGCAACGCGAAGAACCUUACCAAGGCUUGACAUACACCGGAAAAGUGCAGAGAUGUGCUCCCCGUAAGGUCGGUGUACAGGUGGUGCAUGGUUGUCGUCAGC